UACGGAGGAUGCAAGCGUUAUCCGGAAUGAUUGGGCGUAAAGGGUCCGCAGGUGGCCCUGUAAGUCUGCUGUUAAAGAGUGGGGCUUAACCUCAUAAAAGCAGUGGAAACUACAGAGCUAGAGUGCGUUCGGGGUAGCAGGAAUUCCUGGUGUAGCGGUGAAAUGCGUAGAGAUCAGGAAGAACACCGGUGGCGAAAGCGUGCUACUAGGCCGUAACUGACACUGAGGGACGAAAGCUAGGGGAGCGAAUGGG
RNAcentral lists this ribosomal RNA (253 nucleotides) under uncultured bacterium. RNAcentral's name for it is "partial 16S ribosomal RNA". It matches the Rfam family "Bacterial small subunit ribosomal RNA", at positions 524 to 776 of the family's 1533-position model. The record is from RNAcentral.